GGAAGGGCCUGCCUACUGCUUGGCUGAUGUCAACAGCGACCUUCCAGGAAGGCCUGGAAACCAGGCAUCUAUGGAUAGCUUACCCCGGCCCUUUCCUCUCCCCAGUACCCUGCCUCCUCCAGCUAGGAAGUAGCUAUUUGGGGCAGGGAAAUGAGAUGGCAGGACUGUCCCUCUGAGAUCAACUCAGCGCUCUGUGGCUCCCUGGAUAAUGGUUCUGUGUGUCCAGCCCAUCCUCCGGGUCCUGGCUAGUAACCCGAGCAAGUACUAAAUUGUGCGGCAUUUCUUUUGAAGAUUGUGGCUCAGCAAUGAGAGAGAAGGGAGAUGGAGCACUUUAGAGUUUCCCGGCAGUGCUCAUAGUGGAUGAAAGCCAGAGAGUAUACAUGGCUACCAGUGGGCGCUGGGGGCAGAUUGUUCUCGUCCUUCCAGAGACAGAGCAAGCCGGGCUAGUCCCUUUCUGCAGCGCAUCGAGCCGAAAGCUAAGAAUUCGUUACUUCUCAGGCCUGGGAGGUGAUGUCAGUCAAAGCACCAGCAGCCCUGAGCCAGGCAUCUGCCAUGAGGUCUUGUCCACUCCCAGCAAAGUCCCAUCAGGGCUGCCUCGGUGUUAGGAAGUCCUGGCGCCUUGCUCGUGCCAGCAGGAGGACCAAGGCUUCUCCUUGAGCCCAAUUAAAUGUCAGCAGGAUCAAUCUUCUUUUCUAAUUAUGUUUUUGUGUCAUAUCCCCUGGAGGAGGGCAUGGCAACCCACUCCAGUACUCUUGCUUGGAGAAUCCCCAUGGACAGAGGAGCUGGUGGGCUACAGUCCAUGGGGUCCCAAAGAGUUGGGCAUGACUGAGCAACUGAGCACAAGCACAAUCGCUGUGUGCCAAGCACUGCUUAAGGUGAUUAGACUGUACAUCAGUUUCACUGGACUGUACAUCAGACACAUUAGACCGUAUAUGGUCUGUAUGGUACAGUCUAAUGUUAGACUGCACAUCAGUUAUCG
This is a long non-coding RNA of Bos taurus (domestic cattle), 979 nucleotides long. Lineage: Eukaryota; Metazoa; Chordata; Mammalia; Artiodactyla; Bovidae. The record is from Ensembl.